UGGCUGUAUCCCCAGUAUCAAAGGGAUGUGU
This 31-nucleotide non-coding RNA is filed under the name Homo sapiens (human). Lineage: Eukaryota; Metazoa; Chordata; Mammalia; Primates; Hominidae. The record is from RNAcentral.